RNAcentral lists this microRNA precursor (195 nucleotides) under Oryza meridionalis. RNAcentral describes it as "MIR812 microRNA precursor family". It matches the Rfam family "MIR812 microRNA precursor family". Lineage: Eukaryota; Viridiplantae; Streptophyta; Magnoliopsida; Poales; Poaceae. The record is from Rfam by way of RNAcentral.
CUUAUAUGAAAUUUCCAUAUCCAACGUUUGACUGUCCGUUUUAUAUGAAAUUUUUUUAUAAUUAGUAUUUUUAUUGUUGUUAAAUGAUAAAAUAUGAUUAAUACUUUAUGUGUGACUUUUCUUUUCAAUUUUUUUUCAUAAUUUUUUCAAAUAAGUCGGAUGGUCAAACGUUGGACACGGAAACCAGGGUUUAUC